This 540-nucleotide ribosomal RNA is filed under the name uncultured bacterium. Its description in RNAcentral is "bacterial SSU rRNA". It matches the Rfam family "Bacterial small subunit ribosomal RNA", at positions 356 to 896 of the family's 1533-position model. The record is from RNAcentral.
GAGGAAUAUUGGUCAAUGGGCGAGAGCCUGAACCAGCCAAGUCGCGUGAAGGAUGACUGUCUUAUGGAUUGUAAACUUCUUUUAUACGGGAAUAACAAGAGUCACGUGUGGCUCCCUGCAUGUACCGUAUGAAUAAGCAUCGGCUAACUCCGUGCCAGCAGCCGCGGUAAUACGGAGGAUGCGAGCGUUAUCCGGAUUUAUUGGGUUUAAAGGGUGCGUAGGCGGCCUGUUAAGUCAGCGGUGAAAUCUAGGAGCUUAACUCCUAAAUUGCCAUUGAUACUGGCGGGCUUGAGUGUAGAUGAGGUAGGCGGAAUGCGUGGUGUAGCGGUGGAAUGCAUAGAUAUCACGCAGAACUCCGAUUGCGAAGACAGCUUACUAAGGUACAACUGACGCUGAAGCACGAAAGCGUGGGUAUCAAACAGGAUUAGAUACCCUGGUAGUCCACGCAGUAAACGAUGAUAACUGGGCGUAUGCGAUAUACAGUAUGCUCCUAAGCGAAAGCGUUAAGUUAUCCACCUGGGGAGUACGCCGGCAACGGUG